GAAGCAAGGGGAACCCUCAGAAGGUGGAGCCAACCCACAGAUAAAGGGUCAAGAAAAACCAGGAAGAGAAGAAGAGUGCUGGAAGGAUCUAUGAACAAUAGAGAAAGAGACAAUAGAGAUUGGCUGGAUUUACCGUGUAUGAGCUGGACUGUUUUGGACUUACCUGUUGGCGUUUGGACCUGGACCUACCGAGAACCCGAUUCAUGUACCGAACCCUGCUAUCCUUGACCUCGCCUACGGCCUGGGUGGACCAGGACGGAGAAACAAACACAGGCCCAUACCUCCCCGUGUCGUCGACCACGGGGCAGGGGUUUCCAGUACCUGCUUGACUGGGAGGGUUAUGGCCCAGAGGAGAGGUGCUGGGUUCCCGCUAAAGACAUCCUGGACCCGUCCCGCAUCACCGCUGGCACCCCCGUCAACCAGGUGUCACCCGUUUUCGCCGUUGGAACAAAUACCCAGGGACUGUGUUGCCAGGUCGUCUUGUCAACCAGCGUGUUUUUCUGUGCUCCUGCUUUUUCUUCCCUUUUGCUAGUCCUCCUGGUUUUGACCCUUGCCUGCCUUGACCCUGAACUCACCUGCCUGACCAUGCUGCCACUCUGUACCUCCUGGACUAUGACCUUGUUUAUGAUCUUUUGCCUGUUCACAACCAUUCUCGUCUGCCCCUUGGAUUAUAAUAAAUAGAGACUCGAACCAUCUGCCUCCCGUGUCUGGGUCUUGCCCUGUGCCCUUAUAAUUAGUUGAGUAUCUGGAGCAUCAGCAUUUGGGUUUGAAUACAGGCUCAA
Molecule: long non-coding RNA, 782 nt
Organism: Oncorhynchus masou masou (cherry salmon)
Lineage: Eukaryota; Metazoa; Chordata; Actinopteri; Salmoniformes; Salmonidae
Exons: 3
Source: RefSeq, a predicted model, not a curated record